AGAGUUUGAUUAUGGCUCAGGACGAACGCUGGCGGCGUGCUUAACACAUGCAAGUCGAACGGAGUUAUAUUGAGGAAGUUUCGGAUGGAAUGAUACAACUUAGUGGCGAACGGGUGAGUAACGCGUGAGGAACCUGGCUCAUACAGGGGGAUAACAUAGGGAAACUUAUGCUAAUACCGCAUAAGACCACAUUACCGCAUGGUAGAGGGGGUCAAAGGAGGAAUCCGGUAUGAGAUGGACUCGCGUCCUAUUAGAUAGUUGGUGGGUAACGGCCUACCAAGUCGACGAUAGGUAGCCGAGCUGAGAGGCUGAUUGGCCACACUGGGACUGAGACACGGCCCAGACUCCUACGGGAGGCAGCAGUGGGGAAUAUUGGGGCAAUGGGGGAAACCCUGACCCAGCAACGCCGCGUGAGUGAAGAAGGUUUUCGGAUUGUAAAACUCUGUCCUUGGGGACGAAGAAUGACGGUACCCAAGGAGGAAGCCCCGGCUAACUACGUGCCAGCCGCAGC
RNAcentral lists this ribosomal RNA (511 nucleotides) under uncultured bacterium. RNAcentral's name for it is "bacterial SSU rRNA". It matches the Rfam family "Bacterial small subunit ribosomal RNA", at positions 8 to 518 of the family's 1533-position model. The record is from RNAcentral.